GACGAACGCUGGCGGCGUGCUUAACACAUGCAAGUCGAACGGAAAGGCCCUGCGUUUGUGGGGUGCUCGAGUGGCGAACGGGUGAGUAACACGUGAGUAACCUGCCCUUGACUUUGGGAGAACAUCAGGAAACUGGGGCUAAUACCGGAUAGGAGCUCCUGCUGCACGGGGGGGGUUGGAAAGUUUCGGCGGUUGGGGCUGGACUCGCGGCUUAUCAGCUGGUUGGUGGGGUAGUGGCUUACCAAGGCUUUGACGGGUAGCCGGCCUGAGAGGUUGACCGGCCACCUUGGUCCUGCGGUACGGCCCAGACUCCUACGGGAGGCAGCAGUGGGGAGCAUUGCACAGUGGGCGGACGCCUGAUGCAGCGACGCCGCGUGCGGGAUGACGGCCUUCGGGUUGUAAACCGCUUUCGCCUGUGACGAAGCGUGCGUGACGGUACUGGGUAAAGAAGCCCCGGCUAACUACGUG
Molecule: ribosomal RNA, 468 nt
Filed under: uncultured bacterium
Lineage: Bacteria
Description: partial 16S ribosomal RNA
Rfam family: Bacterial small subunit ribosomal RNA
Source: RNAcentral